Coffea eugenioides is the source of this 393-nucleotide long non-coding RNA. RefSeq lists it as uncharacterized. The transcript is spliced from 3 exons. The record is from RefSeq and is a predicted model, not a curated record. NCBI's taxonomy places the organism in Eukaryota, Viridiplantae, Streptophyta, Magnoliopsida, Gentianales, Rubiaceae.
UACUUUUUGGAACUUUUUCUCCUUGUUUACAUUUUGUGACAUUGCGUACAAUAGAGGAGAAGAAAAGAGAACUCCAACAAGAAAGAGUUCUGGAGAAAGGGCUGCAGGAAAACAAAUACAGCUAUUCAAGCAAGUCAAGGUUUUGUGAAAUCUCAGAGACCAAUGGCCAUCAAGUGUUUGAUAAAAUAUCUGUGUGAAACUUGGGAUAGCAGAGAAAACACGGAGAGAAUGAUCGCACAGGGACCAAAGGGGACGUUGUUGACACCAUUAACGGUGAUUCUGGCAAGUUAAUUUAUUCUGGGAAUGAUGGAUCUGAGAUGAACUUGGCUAAUGCGGUGGCUUAUUCUCUCCUACGAGUGCUAAUGGGCUUGUCAAGAGUAUUGGAGCUGGUGG